Molecule: long non-coding RNA, 918 nt
Organism: Haliotis rufescens (red abalone)
Lineage: Eukaryota; Metazoa; Mollusca; Gastropoda; Lepetellida; Haliotidae
Exons: 2
Source: RefSeq, a predicted model, not a curated record
UCUCCUUCAACUUGUGCUGACAGUGUGGGAAUGGCUUUGCCAAUAUUGACACGAGUGACUGCUCUCGGCCCGGGGUUUCGCUGCCAGCCUACUCGUUGCUGACUUGUCAUUCGUCAGUUGCACGUGAACUCUACUCAUCUCCACCCAAUGACACCUCCUGCCCGUACCACCCCCGUCCUUCCUCUACAUCACUCUGGCUGAAUCUGGGUGCAUACUUUGGUAUAUAAAGGCGUUAACAAUUUGUGUUCCAAGGCAAACCUGACUACAGUGCCGCGCUGUGUGAUCCUCCACUAUUCAAGUAAAGUGUCAAAAGACUCCCAGCUGAGGGAAUGACCUCGUCUCCCAUGCUUGCUUGGUAUCUGCUAGUCCUCGCCCUGUCGUCUGCUGUCUGCGUCACUCACUCACUUCCCACACAAGACGUUAAAGACUUGAAUGACGUCAUCAUCAAUCAAGAUGACAACCAGUGUAAAGCCGACUUUGUGGAGAAAUUUGUCAGGUUAAUGUCUGGACCAUUUGGCACUGAAGCAGAGGCCCUCUUAGCAUCAGUGUUGAAACUUUUGUCGAAGAAUGACCGUGUUAGUUUUGCGGGAAUGGCAUUGUCUCAAAACGGUCUUUCCAAACUCACAGAUGAGAAAACUAGUUUUCCGCAGAAACGUUUGAAGCCUGAUUUCAAUCCAACCGGUUGGCGACGGAAGCGUGACGUUGGAAGAAGGAUGAAAGUACAACGAGCUCUGCGAGGCUUAUAUGACAUGCUAGAGAGCAACGCCGUGGUCAAUAUAGCGAGCCAGUCGUGGUUGAAGAGAGACAGGUCACAGGAUAGAGCCAUGUUCAAUCCCACUGGCUGGUGACAGCCAUAUUCUCUUAAUACGUUGUCCGCCAUUGCGUUAGAUGAUAUGUGGUAAUAAAAAAUGCAAGGUC